UUCAUCAACUGACUUUGAGCUUUAAGGUAUAAUUGAGUAACAUUAAGACUUAUAAUUCUAGUUUAAAAUGUCUUGAAUAACUUUCAGCAUGAAGUAUUGUGUGGUGAAAACAAUGUGUAUGUACUACAAUGUGUAAAUCAACAAUAAGUUUGUUGCAAAGGAGAUUCAAAGUGGAUGGUUAAAGUGAUAUGGUCUCAUAAUUCAUCAACUGCCUGUUAUCUUGGAAUACUGAAGAACAGUUGUUUUAGGUUAGACUCCCAAGGUGAAAUUUACAUUGAUUGGAAGAUUCUUUGGAUAGAAUAUUCCUGUCAAAAGACAGCAGAAGGGGGACUAACUGAUGUAUGGAUUUUGACACCAGAUUUUACCCUGCACGAGCAGCCCAACUUGAGUAGAUCAGGAGUGGGAAAACCGAGCCCUGUCCUUGACCAAGGAAAGUUGGAUUUGUUGAGAGGACCUGAUCUCAAAUGAGAUCAUGCACAAGACGCACCUCGCAAAGGCCAUGACAGUAUAGUUUUCAGACCUGAUCAGCUGGUCAGACUGCUCUAUGAAGUGCUGUUCAACCUCCCCUAAGGGGGAGAUUCGAGAGGGUCUCCUGAUUGCUGAACACUACGCCAUGGUUGUUGUCAUCUCCAAAAAGUUUGCCCUGCCCAUAUCAACAGUGGAAGAGAACAUGAGAUGGGCCUUGAGGAGGCUUCGUGUCAUGUACUGCGGGGAGAAUAUAUAAACUGUUUAGUGCUGAGCAAUAUGUUCCUUUGUUCAUAGGUGUAAAUAUGUGUAAAGGGCUAUUCAAGGAAAAGAUAGGAUGAAGGAUUCCUUAAUGUUGUCAUUUUAUAAAUCCGGUACC
Long non-coding RNA from Dreissena polymorpha, 844 nucleotides. RefSeq lists it as uncharacterized. The record is from RefSeq and is a predicted model, not a curated record. NCBI's taxonomy places the organism in Eukaryota, Metazoa, Mollusca, Bivalvia, Myida, Dreissenidae. The transcript has 4 exons.